This 524-nucleotide ribosomal RNA is filed under the name uncultured Diversisporaceae. Its description in RNAcentral is "SSU rRNA". It matches the Rfam family "Eukaryotic small subunit ribosomal RNA", at positions 569 to 1092 of the family's 1831-position model. The record is from RNAcentral. Lineage: Eukaryota; Fungi; Glomeromycota; Glomeromycetes; Diversisporales.
AGCAGCCGCGGUAAUUCCAGCUCCAAUAGCGUAUAUUAAAGUUGUUGCAGUUAAAAAGCUCGUAGUUGAACCUCGGGGUCUACCCAUUGGUCAGGCUUAAUUGUCUGUACUGGUGAGAUGGAUCUCUACCUUCUGAGGAACUUUCAUGCCAUUUAUUUGGUGUGAUGGGAAAUCAGGACUGUUACUUUGAAAAAAUUAGAGUGUUUAAAGCAGACUAUCGUCUGAAUACAUUAGCAUGGAAUAAUGAAAUAGGACGGACUGAUUCUAUUUCGUUGGUUUCUAGGAUCACCGUAAUGAUUAAUAGGGAUAGUUGGGGGCAUUAGUAUUCAAUUGUCAGAGGUGAAAUUCUUGGAUUUAUUGAAGACUAACUACUGCGAAAGCAUUUGCCAAGGAUGUUUUCAUUAAUCAAGAACGAAAGUUAGGGGAUCGAAGACGAUCAGAUACCGUCGUAGUCUUAACCAUAAACUAUGCCGACUAGGGAUCGGACGAAGUUAAUUUUAUAAUGACGCGUUCGGCACCUUACG